UCAGGCUCUGCUUCCAGGACACCAGCCUAGGUCAAGGAGAGAAGCCAAGAUACUAUAAUUGGAACUGAGGGAUAGAAAUGCCUCCAACCAAAAUCAUGAAGGUCACAAGUAGCACUGUCAAAAAUAGAGCCAACCUUGUUCUAUAACCUGUACCUGGAUCCUUUCCAUAUUGCCAAACUGCCAACUGGUGACUGAGAUGGUGACACUGAUGGUCAAGAGACUAUGGAAAACGACAAGAAGAAAAAGGUGGGGCGCAAGGAAAGUGCAGGCUUCUGUUAGACCUUCUGCCUUCUUCUUGGGACUUGGGCUUUUAAAAUAAUGUAGAAGCUAAAGACAAUCAGCAACUCAUGAACACCCUGAAGCAAAUUUCCAUUUCUUUAUGAUUCUACCUUCCCCAUGUCACUUUGCAUUUGUAAAAAGCAUUGCAACAUUGCAAUCACUUGUAAUGCUGUCUGAUUAGAAGCUGAAUCCAUUUUUCUGUGCAAAUAUGAAGUUUCCCAUUGUAUGAAA
RNAcentral lists this long non-coding RNA (510 nucleotides) under Homo sapiens (human). Its description in RNAcentral is "HSALNT0144373". The record is from RNAcentral. Lineage: Eukaryota; Metazoa; Chordata; Mammalia; Primates; Hominidae.